RNAcentral lists this ribosomal RNA (265 nucleotides) under uncultured bacterium. RNAcentral's name for it is "partial 16S ribosomal RNA". It matches the Rfam family "Bacterial small subunit ribosomal RNA", at positions 29 to 285 of the family's 1533-position model. The record is from RNAcentral.
AAUGAACGCUGGCGGCGCGCCUAAUACAUGCAAGUCGAGCGAGAAGACGUAGCAAUACGUUUGUAAAGCGGCGAACGGGUGAGGAAUACAUGGGUAACCUACCCUAGAGUGGGGAAUAACUAGCCGAAAGGUUAGCUAAUACCGCGUACGCUCCUUGGACUUCGGUUCAGGGAGGAAAGCGAUACCGAGGGUAUCGCGCUCUUGGAUGGGCUCAUGUCCUAUCAGCUUGNGGUGAGGUAACGGCUCACCAAGGCUUCGACGGGUA